CGCAUCUGUGCAUGCAGCAUAUCAAUAAGCGGAGGAAAAGAAACUAACAAGGAUUCCCCUAGUAACGGCGAGUGAAGCGGGAAGAGCUUAAAUUUGAAAUCUUAAAGGGUUUCCCUUUACGAAUUGUAGUUUAAAGAAGUGUUUUCUGUUGAGGUUUUGGUAAAAGUUCUUUGGAAUAGGACAUCAUAGAGGGUGAGAAUCCCGUAUUUGACCUUUACUUUCAACUUUGUGAGACACUUUCAAAGAGUCGGAUUGUUUGGGAAUGCAGUCCAAAAUGGGUGGUAAAUUUCAUCUAAAGCUAAAUAUUGGCGAGAGACCGAUAGCGAACAAGUACCGUGAGGGAAAGAUGAAAAGAACUUUGAAAAGAGAGUUAAACAGUACGUGAAAUUGUCCAAAAGGGAAGCGUUUGACACCAGCGUUGUUUUUCUGAAAAUCAAUUAAAGAACUGUUUAUGCUAAGUUGUUUAGACUUUAUCAGCUAACUGUUUAGUUUUGAGCUUUUCUUUAAUGCACUUUUCAGUUAACAAGUCAACAUCAAUUUCUUUUGCUGUAAAAAAGCUUGAGGAAGGUGGCUUGAGAUUCGUCUUAAGUGUUUAUAGCCUCUUGCCUAUGCAGUCGGAGAGAUUGAGGUCUGCAGCGUAGAUCCUUCGGGGCUAAAUGCAUUUGUGCUAAGUUAUAACAUUUUAUAGACAACUUGUUGACUAUGAUUUGUCUUGUAGCUUACUCGCUUAUGUUAUUUUACCUACGCUUAGGAUGUUGACAGCAGUAUAGACUGU
Molecule: ribosomal RNA, 775 nt
Filed under: uncultured Neocallimastigales
Lineage: Eukaryota; Fungi; Neocallimastigomycota; Neocallimastigomycetes; Neocallimastigales
Description: partial large subunit ribosomal RNA
Rfam family: Eukaryotic large subunit ribosomal RNA
Source: RNAcentral